AUCAAUUAUGUCUACAAGUUUGAGCAAUAUAUUACCUCAGUAUAGAACUAUAUUACUUCUUGAAAAUGUUGGUCUGAUUUUGUUCGUUGUGGUCUGCCAUAUGAUUAUAUUUUUUACUCCUCCAGGUCUUGGUUGAAUGAUUCGAUUUAUAGAGGCCAUUACACAAGUUCUGUUUUCACAUGAUUUUGCUAGAUCAGAUACAAAUAGAAGAAGUGGUUCAAGGAUAACCAUCUGUACGGAUGGUGGAAUUUAAAAUUAUGGGACUUCGUCAUAUUAAUCUCACACCUACUCCUCAACUGAGGAGCAGGUGCCUCACAGGAUACAAGAUGCUUUGUCAGCUCCUAUUGGAGCAUCUGCUGAUUUU
Lolium rigidum is the source of this 364-nucleotide long non-coding RNA. RefSeq lists it as uncharacterized. The record is from RefSeq and is a predicted model, not a curated record. The transcript has 3 exons. Lineage: Eukaryota; Viridiplantae; Streptophyta; Magnoliopsida; Poales; Poaceae.